This 254-nucleotide ribosomal RNA is filed under the name uncultured prokaryote. Its description in RNAcentral is "partial 16S ribosomal RNA". It matches the Rfam family "Bacterial small subunit ribosomal RNA", at positions 524 to 776 of the family's 1533-position model. The record is from RNAcentral.
UACGUAGGUGACCAGCGUUGUCCGGAUUUACUGGGCGUAAAGGGUGCGCAGGCGGCGGUUCGCGUGGAUAGAUGAAAUCUCCUGGCUUACCUGGGAGGAUGGUAUCCAGACGGGAUCGCUUGAGGGUCGGAGAGGGGCGUGGAAUUCCGGGUGGAGCGGUGAAAUGCGUAGAGAUCCGGAGGAACACCGACGGCGUAGGCAGCGCCCUGGGCUAAGACUGACGCUGAGGCACGAAAGCGUGGGGAGCAAACAGG